CUUGGUCAUUUAGAGGAAGUAAAAGUCGUAACAAGGUUUCCGUAGGUGAACCUGCGGAAGGAUCACUACCGAGUCGUCGACACGAGUUGUUGCUGGCCUUCAAGCGGAGGCACGUGCACGCUCUGUUUGCACAUCCAUCCACCCCUGUGCACCUUUUGUAGUUCUACGGUCUGGAGGCUCCGCUUCCCUUCCGCGGUUCUACGUCUUUACACACACACGUUGAAGAAGUCUUGUGGAAUGUACAUCGCGUUUAACGCAAUACAAUACAACUUUCAGCAACGGAUCUCUUGGGCUCUCGCAUCGAUGAAGAACGCAGCGAAAUGCGAUAAGUAAUGUGAAUUGCAGAAUUCAGUGAAUCAUCGAAUCUUUGAACGCACCUUGCGCCCUUUGGCUAUUCCGAAGGGCAUGCCUGUUUGAGUAUCAUGAACACCUCAACUCUCACGGUUUCUCGUGAUGAGCUUGGACUUGGGGGUUUGUCGGCCUGUGGUCGGCUCUCCUCAAACGAAUUAGCUUGCCGGUGUCUGGCGGCAUCAUGGGUGUGAUAACCAUCUACGCUUGUGAUCGCCUGCGAGGUAAACCUCUGGUCUGCAGAGGUUCGCCGGAGCUUAUAGACGUCUCUCCUCAGCGAAGACAGCUGUCUGAAGUUCGAUCUCAAAUCAGGUAGGACUACCCGCUGAACUUAAGCAUAUCAAUAAGCGGAGGAAAAGAAACUAACAAGGAUUCCCCUAGUAACUGCGAGUGAAGCGGGAAGAGCUCAAAUUUAAAAUCUGGCGUGCCUCUGGUCGUCCGAGUUGUAGUCUGGAGAAG
Molecule: ribosomal RNA, 807 nt
Filed under: uncultured Thelephoraceae
Lineage: Eukaryota; Fungi; Basidiomycota; Agaricomycetes; Thelephorales; Thelephoraceae
Description: eukaryotic LSU rRNA
Rfam family: 5.8S ribosomal RNA (bases 268-423)
Source: RNAcentral